GCUCUGUGUCCAAUCUAAGGGGAAACCAUUUCGUUUCUUUAGCUGGAGUUUCCGCUGGCACCUCUUCUCUUAUGGCAUGCUGAGAUUAAACAGCAUUUUCUAGAAAGAGAUCAGCACUUCGAACAACUAGACACUGGCUCGGCUCAUCAAGAAGGUGGACAUCGCAACGCUCUGUGCUUGUGGAGGGAGACAAUGCAGCUUGUACGCAUAGAUCACACAGUUUUUCCUCCUACAUCUCUGAAAGCAAAUCUCAGUGCACGAUGCACAUUGAUACAGGAGGAAUGCUUGCUCCAGCAGUUUUAGCUGCUCCUGGUUUCCCUCACAGAGCCUGAGUACCCACUCCCCGGGGCUGCAGCUGGCAGCAGUGACAUCGCAUUUCUCUGAUGUUCUGGCUUGGCAGUUCAAAGUCGCUCUGUGGAAGAAGACGGUUCUCUGGCGCACAGCUCUAAUUCUUAUCAUUCUGUCACAGCACAAUAUUAUCAAAGAAGGGAUUUUCUGUGAUUAGCAAAAGAAGGCAUUAACUGUGGUCAUUAGCAUUAUCAAUAUACCGAAGCAAGAAAAACAGUGCAAAGCUACAAAGAGUGUUUGUUUUUCUGUAUCUGAGCAUUAUGGUAAAAUAGGCUUCCUCAGUUAUUAGAUAGCUCAUGAAUAAAUAUAUUAUUAUGGUAGGCAUCAUACGCUUGCUAUGUUAAACACAGUCUUCAAGUUAUUGUUCUUAAGCUCAUGCGUUUCAAGUUGUGUGAUGGUUUUAUGCAGAAUCAGCUUAGAGAGAGGGGGAAUUGCAUGAGCAGCAAAAUAGUUUCCUCUCUGCCUGAGGUGUUGAUUUGCAUCAGUCCCUGAGGCAAAGUUGACCCCUGGGAAAUAGGGAUUUGCUUUUUGGUAAAACUCCUGCAAGAAGAAUUGCCUUGCAUGCCUUCUGGCUUUUUCUUCUCAAGAUUGGGGAUAUAUGUAAAUAAAGAGAGUUAUACUUAAAUUAUAUCUACAGUACAGUUUGCACUGUAAUGUAGAGAUACUUCAGAAAGCCUUUAAAAAAACUAGCUUGGCUCCUGAAAGCUGUUUGCAGCAGUUUAAUCUGGUUUUCAGUUCUGUAGAGGUCUGCUGUGGGUAUAAAGAGAGCUGGCCUGGAGCUGAAAUGCAGAUUAAGCUGGGGCAAGAGAGAAAGCUUCCAGGACUCUGGGUAGCAUCUUGGUGCUUUUCCUUGAAGAAAACCCUGACUCUGCAUCCCUGGCAUCCCCUCUCCUGUGAGGUCACCUGCACUGUGCUCCUGCUUGGGAUCCAAGACAUGAUACCUCAGCACAAGCCUGAGAUUCAGGGAGGAAUGGCUGCAUAUUUAGGUUCAGUUCUGUGAAUUGUGCCUUCUCCCUUUCAGGCUGAGAAUCACUGGCACAUUAAAAUGAGAGGAGGUGAAGUAGAUGUAAAUAAAAUGGGACAAACUGAUUAACACAGAGAGAAGUAAUUUAUGAGCAAUCAAAAAAGAAAAGCCAUGUGAAGCAGAUUAUAAUAAGCAAGAAGGCUUGCAUAUUUGUGGUUUCCUUUUUGCAGGAGGAAGAACAUACAAAAGUACUUCAAGUACCUUUCAAUAAGGCUCUAUCUUUUCCAUUUUUAAACACACAAUGUUAUUCUUUCUUCCAUGCUUUUGAAGGGACUAAAAAUUAUGCUAUAAAUUUUCCUGAAGUCCUGCUUAGAAAUUGUCCUUCGCCUCUGUGUGGUAGCAGGGCAGCAAUUGGUAUUGUUAUUUUUGCGGAUUGAAUUAGACGUUUGUUGUCUGCACUAGCCUGAAGAGGAUUUGUGAGCUACUUGUAACAAACUGUCUCAUUUCAUACCUCUUAUUUUUUUCCCCUUGGGGGCUGAAUAAGGCAUAUCAACUAUUUUUCCACAAUACGCAUCAGUUUAAUCAUCAGCGUCAUACACCACAGUGAGGCUGCUGCCGACUGUGAUGCCCAGUUCACACAGCAGCUCUGCAGCACAUCGUUUUGGUGGAGAGAUGAAUGGGAAUAAAAUGGUUUUCUUGAUGUUUCUAAAAAUUGCCAUAAAUCCAGGCUUCUUGCCCCUGACCUGUGGGCCAUACAGCUAGUACUUUGUCAGGUAUCUCAGCCCUAGCAGAAAGAGGGGCAAGCAGUUCUCAGACAAUCAGGCUGUAUUUUUCCAGAAGCACAAGUAAAUGCACUUUUCACGAAGGAGUUGAUUUUUUUCCCGUGUGACCUGUCCAGAUAUUAUACCUGUCCUGACCUCCUUUCUUUGGCACAUGCAAUAAACUUAAGCAACUCCAUCCAUAUUGUUGUUCAUUUGAGUCCAAGAUACGACACAGCAACAAUGACUUUCAUAUUUUCCUUAAAAACGAUUUAAUAAUACCUUUACAUUUCCCUUCAAACAAAAUUCUGUCUCCUUUUGGAUGCUUCUCUUUACAUUGAUAAACAGCCUGGGAAUAUGCCAUCCCAGCCACCUGCUAAGAGCCUUUAUCACCCUCUGCGGUCCCAUCCUGCAACAGCUCUGGCGAUCAGCAAUCCAUGUUUUGGCUGGGACCAGACAGUUGUGUGUUUUUGUUGUUUUUAUUGUUGUGGUUUUGUUUGCUUGUGUCCUUUGGUUUGUUUGUUUGGUUUGUUUUGUGGGGGUUUUGUGUGUGUUUGUUUGUUGUUUUUUUUUAAUCUGAUGGAUGUGAACAUCAUUUUGCUUGAGUCUUUGCUCCACUGCAUUCCUGUUAAGUGUGACUGCCUUCCCCAAAUCCUUGUUAAUUUUUAUUCCAAUUGUGUAAGAAUUUGCCUACCCUGGGCAGGCAGAGCAGCCACCAGCCAGCCCACCCUUCUGCCUCCAACAGCACACUUUGCAAAGGUGUGCAGGGGUAUUUUUUCACAGUGUGGUUUAGAGAGCCCCUCACUACACAUCCUUCAGUGACACAAAGAAUAUCGUAACAUAGAUAAAUGCACUGAGCUGCAGUUUCUCCAGAACCUGGCUGCACCCUUCCCCUCACACCGUUUUUAAAGCCCUAUGGAGUCAGCCAUAGUGAGUGUGGCAGGGACACGACACUCCCCACCCCUGUGACCGAACCCCACACACUGGCUGUAGUCACGUACACCCCCCUGAUUGGGGGACAGGCAAGGCAAGACCCCCUGCUCAGCCAACAGAGCCCUUGGCCAAUGAAACACCUCAGCUGAGAGAAGCUUCUGGACCACUGACUGUACAUGGCCACAGAUCAGAUUUUGACAUAAGGUUAUAAACAGAGGCCACUGGAGACCCCAUUCUGAAAUGGUGCCCUCGGAGCAGUAGGUCUUCCAUCGGGGUCUCUCCCCUUAGGAUAGGAACUUGGUCUAAGGAAGCCAUUUGAGGUUAAGUGCCCCACCAUUUGGUGAGCAAUUGUGUUUUCUGGACUGUCCUUGAACACCCUGGCCUUAUUGAUGAGGGAUUAGGUAUUCUGCGUAUCCUUGAGAGUCCUCCUUUGUGAGCGGGUGAAUGCAUGCCUCCAAUCAUCAUCCGGAGCUUUAGGAAUUCCUGGUGUCCUGUGUGUGUUCUCUGUGUGGUAAUUAGUUCCGAAAUGCUAUCCUGAAUCUGUAGUUAUAAUGUUGUCGGAGUGCUGAGUGAUUUUGAUAGACCUUGUUUCUAGUUUGUUUUUUCUGCUAAGCUGUUUUAAUUAAAAUAAAGUUUGC
Columba livia (rock pigeon) is the source of this 3641-nucleotide long non-coding RNA. RefSeq lists it as uncharacterized. Lineage: Eukaryota; Metazoa; Chordata; Aves; Columbiformes; Columbidae. The transcript is spliced from 3 exons. The record is from RefSeq and is a predicted model, not a curated record.